CUUUCUCAUGUUUUUUCUUGCUACAAGAUGGAAGAGAUUUCUUACAUCUCUGAAUUGGUCUGGAAAAAGAAUAGUAGGACAAACAGAUUUGGCUGCAGAACUUACUGAACAGCUCUAUACUUUUUAUAGCUAUAAUUGAGACAUGCCUGGGACACAAUGAGACGCUUGAUUAGGACUUGCCGGAGUGCCAUAAUGUUGCGGUGCAGUGAAGCAUGGUAAAACAAUCCAAUAUAUGAUUGCAUAAAGUAAAGACCAAAGACCUGCAUUUGCCAAAAGAGUUGGUUUACCAUGCAAAGGGAAGACUAGCUUUACGAUUCCUUCAUCUUCCAGCCUGGUUAAGAGUGACUCAUUUUGAGUCCAGUGGAACUCUUUAUCGUCAAAGCUGAGAGUUAUAUCAGAAUCGGUCUUGUUCACCUGCAAGUCUCCAUAUCUACCUACUGUCAAAUAAGGAAAUAUGAAGCACAACAAGACUAAUCACUUUGUACAUUAGCUAUAUGUUUUAUUCAUAUCUCAUGUCAAGCGAAAAGAAAAACUUUGAGACUUGAGAGAAUAACCAUAGUAUAAGCAGAAAUAUACUAAACCACUUUCCUAUU
This is a non-coding RNA of Oryza sativa Japonica Group (Japanese rice), 593 nucleotides long. Lineage: Eukaryota; Viridiplantae; Streptophyta; Magnoliopsida; Poales; Poaceae. The record is from RefSeq and is a predicted model, not a curated record.